RNAcentral lists this ribosomal RNA (854 nucleotides) under Pycnora praestabilis. RNAcentral's name for it is "SSU rRNA". It matches the Rfam family "Bacterial small subunit ribosomal RNA", at positions 370 to 1294 of the family's 1533-position model. Lineage: Eukaryota; Fungi; Ascomycota; Candelariomycetes; Candelariales; Pycnoraceae. The record is from RNAcentral. RNAcentral also lists the same sequence under 1 other name.
AAUAGCCUAACGGCUGAACCAGCAAUUUGGGGGAAUGUAUAGCGUAAGCUAGUUGUAUUAACUAUUAGUUAAUACAACAUCGACUACGUCGAAUAAAAUUCUAGGUAGAAUAAUGAUUAUGACAAUUUUCUAUCUAUAUGUCUUGACCAAAUCUCGUGCCAGCAGUCGCGGUAAUACGAGGAAGACUAGUGUUAUUCAUCUUUAAUAGGUUUAAAGGGUACCUAGACGGUAUUUCUAGCCCAAAAAGGGUACGGAUCUACUAGAGUUUUAUGUGAGAAGGGGAGUACUUUUGGUGUAGAGAUGAAAUUCUUUGAUACCUUGAGGUGACUGGUAGCGGCAAAAGCAACCUUCUAUGUAGAAACUGACGUUGAGGGACGAAGGCCUGGGUAGCGAAUAGGAUUAGAUACCCUAGUAGUCCAGGCAGAGAAUUAUGAAUGCCAUAGACUAGAUUAAGUUUGGUCUAUAAAUGAAAGUGUAAGCAUUCCACCUCAAGAGUAAUGUGGCAACGCAGGAACUGAAAUCAUUAGACCGUUUCUGAAACCAGUAGUGAAGUAUGUUAUUUAAUUCGAUGAUCCGCGAAAAACCUUACCACAAUUUGAAUAAGUACAAGCGCUGCACGGCUGUCUUCAGUUAAUGUCGUGAGAUUUUGGUUAGUUCCAUUAAAUUAACGUAAACCCUUGCUUUAUUUAUUCUUUUUUAAUAAAGCAGUUCGCCGCUAUAUUGAUUAUGAUAAAAGGGACUAAGACAAGUCAUCAUGGCCUGAAUAUUGUGGGCUAUAGACGUGCCACAUAUGCCUAUACAAAGGGAUGCAAAAAUGUGAAUUAGAGCUAAUCCCCUAAAGUAGGAUAUAAUAU